CACUAAUCUCUCAGAGUACCUGGGGCUGGAUGUUUCUAGAAUCCUAAUUUUAGUUUGUUUUCUUUUGGCUCAUAAGCCAAAGCUGACACCCCUUUAGGCAGGUCUUAGAAUCCUGUGCAAUCACAUCUUCACCAACACCAACAACACACUGACCUUCAGGCUAAUGGCAACCCCAGCAGCUGAAGGCAGCCCUCAAUUGCCAGUGUCCUCUGCUUCCAAGCUGAUUCUUUAGGCUCAAUGUUUCAAGGGAAAACAGACCAAAAAAUAAUGGCCUGUGAAUGGCCUGUUAAGAUGAGCAAGAUUGUGAGAUCAUGGAACUCAACACAGGCAGGGGAGACAACUUCCAAAACAGCAGGAGUGGAAUCCAAAAAGUUAUCAACAUUAAGAGUUACAGAGGCAAUCACUUCUGAAGACUCCAACUUCAGAAUAACAUUAAGAUGA
RNAcentral lists this long non-coding RNA (441 nucleotides) under Felis catus (domestic cat). RNAcentral's name for it is "lncRNA (ENSFCAG00000050134.1)". The record is from RNAcentral. Lineage: Eukaryota; Metazoa; Chordata; Mammalia; Carnivora; Felidae.